AGCCAAUGAAAGAGCGGCACGAGCCGGCGCAGAGGAAGUGGAGGGUGUCCCGCGCAGACGGAGGAGCGGACUGCGUUACGCACGAGCCAGGGAGCGUCUUCUGUAGAGCGGCUGAGCUGCGCAGCGGAUGCUGGGCGUUCGUUUGAAGCGCAGAAACUCGUCUGAAUGCCCACUUUCUCGGGUUUGUUGUCGCGGAGCAUUUCCACGAGUCCACUGACAUCCGGGAGAGGCAGCCGGUCCGACAGACAGUUCAAGUCUCCUCCAGGAAGAGAACCGAGAUGACUUCUUGUUUGCGUAACGCUGAGUGUUCACUGCAGCUGUGAGCUUUUGGAGAGAAUACCUGCUGGCAAAUCUCUGGUUCACAUCCGUUGCCCCGAUGCUUGCUUUAGGACUGCCUUCUUGCACCAGAAACCCCAAAGAGAGACCAUCAGAACACAGUAUGACUGAGGCUCAGCAUGACUCUGAGGCUGGAGCCCUCCAAAGACUGAGCAUCAUCAUAUUUCUUCUGGAGCAAAGUUGAUGGGCAGACAGCUGCUCCAGCUCUGGAAAGACAUUUAUGUGAAGGAGACUGAAGUGCUUUGAGGUGGUGUUUCCUUCUUUGAAAGGCUGAAUGUUGAACUUUUGAAGAGCUUAUGGGAAGAUGGCGACAGGAGCAGAGGGAAGUCCACAUCAGCACCAGAGGAGGAAAGCUUUGCUGCACGGAUUGGAGGACCAGAAAAGGCCAGGGAGUCACUAUGGAGGGGUAUACAUGUGGACCUGGAACCUCAGGUUGCAGACCCCUGAUCCAGAGUUGCAGAAGAACAUUAAAUAGUGUCUUUUACAGAGUGCAUAAAGAUAAUCAUGAACAAUAAAGUAUCCUGCGUAAAUCUCA
Non-coding RNA from Oryzias latipes (Japanese medaka), 871 nucleotides. NCBI's taxonomy places the organism in Eukaryota, Metazoa, Chordata, Actinopteri, Beloniformes, Adrianichthyidae. The record is from RefSeq and is a predicted model, not a curated record.